RNAcentral lists this unclassified non-coding RNA (379 nucleotides) under uncultured Gammaproteobacteria bacterium. RNAcentral describes it as "contains 16S-23S intergenic spacer region". The record is from RNAcentral. Lineage: Bacteria; Pseudomonadati; Pseudomonadota; Gammaproteobacteria.
UCCGGUUCUUCACCAGCAGUCUCCUUAGAGUGCCCAGCAUUACCUGAUGGCAACUAAGAAUAAGGGUUGCGCUCGUUGCGGGACUUAACCCAACAUCUCACGACACGAGCUGACGACAGCCAUGCAGCACCUGUUCCUAAGCUCCUUGCGGCACUCCCGUCUUUCAACAGGAUUCUUAGAAUGUCAAAGGUAGGUAAGGUUCUUCGCGUUGCAUCGAAUUAAACCACAUGCUCCACCGCUUGUGCAGGCCCCCGUCAAUUUCUUUGAGUUUCAACCUUGCGGCCGUACUCCCCAGGCGGAGAACUUAUCGCGUUAGCUUCGCUACCAAUGGGUUUUACCCCACCAACAGCUAGUUCUCAUCGUUUACAGCGUGGACUAC